Molecule: non-coding RNA, 366 nt
Organism: Schizosaccharomyces pombe (fission yeast)
Lineage: Eukaryota; Fungi; Ascomycota; Schizosaccharomycetes; Schizosaccharomycetales; Schizosaccharomycetaceae
Source: the annotation of a GenBank genome assembly
UUAAGUUAGAAAAAUUUCAACCUAGUUAUUAAUACUUAAAACUAACCAUAUCUUUGGUUAAGAAUUUUAUAUACGGAACCCAUCUGAUAGAGCGUAUGAGUUAGCUAUAUACGUCGGACAACAAGCAUUAGCAAAUUCAUUAGCUCCUAAUAUCAUUACAUGUCCAUGAAGGAUAUUUACAGCUAAAUAUUUGAAUUAGUAUGCACGAUUUUUACGAGUUAACAGAGGGAUUCUACCUGCUAGUGUUAGUGAAAUUGAUGGUAUUUACUCCGAAAGCCUUUACAGCAUUCAACUUUAUACCAAUCUUUUAGUAAACGUGUUUAUCUACUUCCUGUUACUUGACUAUCUUUAAAAAACAUUAAGCAA